GUCCCAAGGGUUCGGCUGUUCGCCGAUUAAAGCGGUACGUGAGCUGGGUUUAAAACGUCGUGAGACAGUUUGGUCCCUAUCUACCGCGGGCGUAGGAACUUUGAGGGGAUCUGUCCCUAGUACGAGAGGACCGGGAUGGACGGACCUCUGGUGUCCCAGUUGUUCCGCCAGGAGCACCGCUGGGUAGCUAUGUUCGGAAGGGAUAACCGCUGAAAGCAUCUAAGCGGGAAACCCACCCCAAGAUAAGAGUUCCCCUUCCGCUUCGGCGGAGCUGAAGGCCCCUCGUAGACGACGAGGUUGAUAGGCCGGAGGUGGAAGUCCGGUAACGGAUGGAGCUGACCGGUACUAAUAGGCCGUGCGGCUUGACCAU
This is a non-coding RNA of Desulfacinum infernum DSM 9756, 370 nucleotides long. Lineage: Bacteria; Pseudomonadati; Thermodesulfobacteriota; Syntrophobacteria; Syntrophobacterales; Syntrophobacteraceae. The record is from Rfam.